AGUUCUAACCAGUAGCUAAGACUUCAUUAAGGAGGCAGGCAGAAGUGUGCGCCCAGUAAAGACACAGAAACACAAAAGAAACAGAAAAAAAAAAUUGAAGUGAAAAAAUCAGUAGUAAUGCGACCGACGGACAUGUAACGGCAUUCGCUGUCUGAGAGAGGAAGUGUGUGUGAUGGAACUAGGUGGCUGUGACUUCAGAGGACAAUGCGACCGUUACCCGACCUGCCGUUCCCCAAAGCGGUCACUAACAGGAUCCUGUGACCGCUACAGAUGUCCCCCUGGUCAGUUCUGCACAUUGUUGCAUGACCGCUGCGCUUUGAUGCCAUGUCCGUCACGGCCGGCCUGUGUUUCUUCGAACCAAACAGGUUUCCGCAGAGUGAAGAGGACGUAUGAAAAUUCUGAUCAAUUAAUAUCUUCAUUAUAAAACUAAACUUGCAAAAUAUAAUUUCUUGUAAUGUGAAUUUAAAUUGAUAUUAAGGAUUUUUGUGUCUGUACUAAUAAAGCACACAAUAAAUAUAUAUAACAGAAUGUAAA
Cryptotermes secundus is the source of this 534-nucleotide long non-coding RNA. RefSeq lists it as uncharacterized. The record is from RefSeq and is a predicted model, not a curated record. NCBI's taxonomy places the organism in Eukaryota, Metazoa, Arthropoda, Insecta, Blattodea, Kalotermitidae. The transcript is spliced from 4 exons.